Molecule: ribosomal RNA, 253 nt
Filed under: uncultured bacterium
Lineage: Bacteria
Description: partial 16S ribosomal RNA
Rfam family: Bacterial small subunit ribosomal RNA
Source: RNAcentral
UACGUAGGGUGCGAGCGUUGUCCGGAAUUAUUGGGCGUAAAGAGCUUGUAGGCGGUUUGUCGCGUCUGCCGUGAAAAUUCGAGGCUCAACCUCGAACUUGCGGUGGGUACGGGCAGACUAGAGUGUGGUAGGGGAGACUGGAAUUCCUGGUGUAGCGGUGGAAUGCGCAGAUAUCAGGAGGAACACCGGUGGCGAAGGCGGGUCUCUGGGCAGUAACUGACGCUGAGGAGCGAAAGCGUGGGGAGCGAACAGG